GACGAACGCUGACGGUGUGCUUUAGACAUGCAAGUCGAACGCGAAAGCCCUUCGGGGUUAGUAGAGUGGCGAACGGGUGAGUAACACGUGGGCAAUCUGCCCCUCGCAGGGGGACAACCGGAGGAAACUCCGGCUAAUACCCCGUACGCUUGCGGAACCGCAUGGUACCGCAAGGAAAGGUAGCUUCGGCCAUCCGGCGAGGGAUGAGCCCGCGGUGCAUUAGCUAGUUGGUGGGGUAACGGCCCACCAAGGCGACGAUGCAUAGCUGGUCUGAGAGGAUGAUCAGCCACACUGGGACUGAGACACGGCCCAGACUCCUACGGGAGGCAGCAGUCGGGAAUCUUGCGCAAUGGGCGAAAGCCUGACGCAGCAACACCGUGUGAGCGACGAA
This 391-nucleotide ribosomal RNA is filed under the name uncultured bacterium. Its description in RNAcentral is "bacterial SSU rRNA". It matches the Rfam family "Bacterial small subunit ribosomal RNA", at positions 28 to 412 of the family's 1533-position model. The record is from RNAcentral.